RNAcentral lists this ribosomal RNA (523 nucleotides) under uncultured bacterium. RNAcentral describes it as "bacterial SSU rRNA". It matches the Rfam family "Bacterial small subunit ribosomal RNA", at positions 8 to 526 of the family's 1533-position model. The record is from RNAcentral.
AGAGUUUGAUCCUGGCUCAGAUUGAACGCUGGCGGCAGGCCUAACACAUGCAAGUCGAGCGGAUGAAGGUAGCUUGCUACCUGAUUCAGCGGCGGACGGGUGAGUAAUGCCUAGGAAUCUGCCCGAUAGUGGGGGAUAACGUUCCGAAAGGAACGCUAAUACCGCAUACGUCCUACGGGAGAAAGCGGGGGAUCUUCGGACCUCGCGCUAUCGGAUGAGCCUAGGUCGGAUUAGCUAGUUGGUGGAGUAAAGGCUCACCAAGGCGACGAUCCGUAGCUGGUCUGAGAGGAUGAUCAGCCACACUGGAACUGAGACACGGUCCAGACUCCUACGGGAGGCAGCAGUGGGGAAUAUUGGACAAUGGGCGAAAGCCUGAUCCAGCCAUGCCGCGUGUGUGAAGAAGGUCUUCGGAUUGUAAAGCACUUUAAGUUGGGAGGAAGGGUUGUAACCUAAUACGUUGCAACUUUGACGUUACCGACAGAAUAAGCACCGGCUAACUUCGUGCCAGCAGCCGCGGUAAUAC